UUCCAGCGCGCAAUGUGACUCGGGGCAGCUCGCGCCAACGCUCUGCUGCGCAUGCCCUUUUUAUUUUUAUUUUAUUUUUAUUUUUUUGGUAUUGUAGCGGAGCAGCCGCAGACCCAGCCCGGCAGGAGUGACUUGAGAAACUGCAAGUCGCUUCUGGUGUGAGAGAAUUGGCCGUCUACAAGGACAUUGCCCAAGGACGUUGGGCAAGGGUGUUACAGUCUAAAAACCUUCAGCAUUUCCAUUUCUGCAGCUCAGAUAGUUCUGUCAUAGUUUAAAAGGGUUAAUGUGAAGCUGAAAAAAAGUAAUGUGUAAUACACACAUACUACAGAAUGAACUUACCUUUCAAAUGGUAGUCUAGUGUCAAAGAGAAGUCUGGGGACCAGACAAUAAAGAGUCUUAUGAUUUCUUAAAGGGAAAUAGUAUUCCAGGAUAAGUUUUCAUGGGCCCCUUCCACACAGCUGUAUAAAAUCCACAUUGAAUUGGAUUAUGUUGCAGUCUGGACUCAGGGCUCUUCCAGACAGGCCCUAUAAACAGGAUCUGAGCCCAGGUUUUCUGUUUAUCCCAGAUUAUCUGGCAGUGCGGACUCAUAUAAUCCAGUUUAAAGCAGAAAACCUGGGAUCAGAUCCUGGGAUAUAGGGCCUGUCUGGAAGGCCCCUCAGAUAAUGCAGUUCAAAGCAGAUAUUGUUGAUUAUUUGCCUUGAUAGUCUGGGUUAUAUGGCUGUGUGGAAGGGCCCAUGGAUACCAUCUCAUCAGAUGCCUCUGCUGCUUUAUAUACAAAUUUGUAUGCAAAUAUCAUUACACACACGUUGUCACAUAUUCAUGGACAAGAAGGGGAAUGUGCAUUAAGAUGUUGGAAGGAAUGUUUGCAAAUGCAGUGAUCAAUAGAACAAAUCCUGCCAAAGUAAUAUUUAGGGGGGGGGGGGCGUUCAGGGGGGGGUUAGGUGAUGGUGAGAAAGCUGUUGAUGUCAUUUAUCUAGAUUUCAUCCAUGCAUUUGAUAAGGUUCCCCAUAGUAUUUUUAUUAACAAACUGAGUAAUUAUGGAAUAGGUGGAACUACUGUCAGAUGGAUUCAUAAUUGGUUGGAAAACUGUUCUCAAAAAAUCACCAUCCGUGGCUGCACUUCAAACUGGAAGGAGAUCUGGGUUCUGUCCCAGGGCCAUGACUCUUCCACUUUUUUUUUAACUAGAUCAGUGGUUCCCAGCCUUUGAUCCUCCAGGUAUUUAGGUCUUCAGCUCCACAACUCCAAACAUCUGGUAAACUGACUGGAAUUUCUGGGAGCUAAAGUCCAAAACACCUGGAGAACCAAAGGUUGGGAACGGCUAACUUAGAUGAUGUAGUGUGGGGACCUGUAUCAAAUUUGCAGAUGAUACAAAAAUGGAAGGGAUUGAUUACACAUUGGAAGAUAGGAACAGAAUUCAAAAGACCCUAACUGAAAAUUGAGCAGAAAUUAAUAAAAUGAAAUUAAGUAGAGACAAAUGUAAAAUCCUACAUUUAGGCCAAAAAACACAAAUACACAGUUACUGAAUGAGGGAAAGAAAGGGGUAAAAGAAAGGCUAUAUGAGCUAGGCAUGUUCAGCUCAGUGAAGAGAAGACAGAGGGAAAACAUGGUUGUACUCUUGAAACAUUUCAAGGACUGUCACAAGACAAGGUAGGAGCAAGUCUAAUGGUUUUUAAAUUUACAAGAGAAUAGAGUUGGGCCCGAAUCCCGUUUUGUGAUUUUGUACCAUUCUGUCCAUUUGGAUGGCACAGAACGGUACAACCCGGAACAAAAGAAGCAGCAAAACGGAAAAAGGGAGGAAUGGUAGCCAUUUGGUCAGCUGAUUUUCGGCACUUGGCUGUAAGCCUUGGCUGGCAGGGCCUACAGCCAAGUGCCGGGCGCUCAAUUCUCAUAGGCCCGGCAUGAAAGGAUGACAGCCAAGUGCCGGGUGCUCAAUGCUCGUAAGCCCAGCUCACAGGGCCUGCCUGCCGGGCCUACGAGCAUCAAACACUUGGCGCUUGGCUGUAGACUCUGAGCCGGGCAUACAAGUGUCGAGUGCUUGGCUGUAGGCCUGCCCACUGAGUGGUCCAGCAGGCAGAGCCUACAGCCGAGCACUCAGCUCUCAUAGGCCCAAUUCGCAGGGCCUAAAGCCAAGCACUGGGUUCAGAUCUUGAGAGGAAAAGCUCAUUUAUAUAAGUGCCCGUUUCUGUAAGUGGUGGACAGAAAUGGGGCCAUGCGAACAGUAUAAAUAGAGUUGCCGAAGGCUUUCAUGGCCGGAAUCACAGGGUUGUGUGUUUUCUGGGCUGUAUCAACCCAGUAUAAAUAGAAAUGAGUAGUGAUUCCAAAUGCAUGAGACUACAGGAAAGUAGAUUUUGAUUGAACCUUAGAAGAAAACUUUGCUGUAGGAGCAGUCUGGCAAUGGAACCAAUUGUCUACAGUGGUGGUGGGAUCUCCUUUCCUGAAUGUUAUUUAUCAAAAAGGCUUGGCAGCUCCCUCCUGGGGAUCUUUCAUUGAGCAGGAGUUGAAUUUGUUGGUCCCUUCCAACUCUGGUUCUAAUGACUUGAAUCUCUUGAUGUAUUGCUGUACAGUGAUUUCAUAUUGCAAUCUGUUUUUGAAGGUCAUUUGUUCAAGGAUUGAGAUAAUCAUUUGGAAGACUGAAGUUUCUCAUCCAUUGUCUUUCACAACUGUUGCUAGGGAAAGAUAGUUCCCAGCUCUCUAUUUGAAAAAUGCAAUCAUGCCUAUUUUGUAAGGUUGUAAUGAAGAAUAGAAGAUAAGGAAAAAUUACUACAUGCAUGCCCAGAAUUAAAUGGCCUACUAAUAGUCCAAUCUUCAGAACAUAAUGAUCCACACUUAUAUUAGGUUUUAUUUGAUUUUGCUGAGUUGUCACCUGUUUGGCAGAUACUUCUUUUAAGGUAAUAGAAGCACUCUCUGAACCAAUCUGUUUUUUGAAAUGGAAAUAGAAGAAAAAUGCACAUGAUUCUGCCCCCCAAAAGGGGGUUGGAAUCCUGUGCUGCGACAAUGAAGGAAUUCAUUCUCAAUGUAAAAGCACUGAACUAUAAGAACUCACUGAACAUAUUUUCUGAAAAUUGAGAAAGCCAUUACCCAGGCAACCACAGCCAGUUAAAAAACUCAACUGCAGCUACUUAAAAAAAAACCUUUCCAAAAAUAAAGUGAAUGAAAUGAGAUUAAACAGAUGGCUAUUUUAAGUGGUGUGAAUAUUCUAAUGAUUUUAUGUGUAACAGUCUUGAGAGCAUAAUGAACGUCACAUGAGAACGUAACAGGAAAGUCAUAAUAGGGCCACCUUCUGUUUAAAUCUACAGGGCCUCUUCCAGCUUCUGAAAAGAAAUAUUAUGAAAAUGAAUUAAAGAAAAGUAUUAAAUAGGUCAGACUAUCCCAUAAGAUCAAGACAUUUUACAUUUAUUGUGCUGUCCCUUCAAUUUCCCUGCAAGCAAGAAAAAGGCAGCAGCGAGAGGAGCCGAUUGAAACAUAUAUAUCCACACAAGAAGAUAAGUCACAGUAGGAGGGAUGCAAUACUGUACUUCUGCUGGAACUUGUUGCUUCCCACACACACAGCAAUUCACUCUACCUUCUAUAGCCCACCCACUCCCCUGGAACAUAAAAUCUUUUCCAGGGCUGCAGGAAAGUCCCAAUUCUUUUGCCAUUAGGUAUGGAAAUACACCAUUGGAUCUUGGCCAAUGUUGGGAAGAACAGGUAAAGGGGUAUGUGAUUGCAAUGGGAGAACCAUAGAGAUGUGUGUAUCAGUGGACAUGGUGAUGCAAUAUUAAAUACAGCUUAGUAUAGGUUGAGCAUUCCUUACCUGGAAUUCCAAAAUUAUCCACAUAAAGAGAUAGUGAUACCUUUCUGAUGGUUUGUUUCAUACAUAUUUUUGUUUCAAACAUAUUUUUGUAUGGUAUGGUUUGUUUCAUACAUAUUUUUUUUAACUGUAUAAAAUUACUUUCAGGCUGUGUAUAUAAGGUGUAUAUGAAACAAAUUAAUUUCGUGUUUAGACUUGGAUCCCAUUUCCAUGACAUCUCCUUAUGUACACAUUUACAAAUGCAAAUGUUUCAAAAAAAUUUUUUUUUAAUCCAAACUCCAAAACACUUCUGAUCCCAAACUUUUGGCUAAAGAAUACUCAACCUGUUUCUACUGUUUUUGUGUGCUAGAGAAACAGAUAGUGCUGCACAUUAGUCAAGCCCUCCUCCCCUAUUCCAAGGCUACCUACACUUGCAGUUCAGCUACACAACUACCUAGUCAGUGUUACAGAAUGAAACCUCUCUUGUUCUAUUAAUGACAUGAAAGCCUUUUACUGUAUUUGCAGUCACGGAAUGCUUCCCACUCUUGGCUUUAGAAUUCAUUUCCAUUGAGUUCAAUGGGUCCCAUUCCACUAUGGUUUGCUAUAUGACCCUGUCUCACUUGAAAGACAAUUGUGCUUUGGCAUGCUGCCCUGGAAGCAGCUGUUAUAUCAAGAUUCAUAGGCUUCAUUUGGGCCUCUGAUUCUGUGCAUAUUGCUAUUUUUUAAAGGAACAAGGAAAACUCUUACAUAAGCUGCUAAAAAUAAUCAAAAGACAAUAAAAAGUUCUUGCUAAAAUUAAUUUCAGUUUGAAUGAUGAAUCAUAAAAUGUUGCAUGCAUAAAUCCUUCACCCAAAACCUUGUAUAGGUUUAUAUGUAGGAGGGAUAGAAAUGGAUUCACAUGGGAGUUUUCAACAUUUUCCAUGUUUAGAGAUAAUAGCAUGUGUCAUAAUCUAGAAAGGAAAGAAGUUUCAAGUGGUUUUUCUCCCUUUGAUCUUCUCUGCAUGUUCAUUUGAUGCUUCAGUAUUAUGGUUCUCAUGUGACAAUAAGAAAACAAAACAAACCUUUUUGGGUUUUACCAUUGUAAACAGCUUUGGAAACUUUUGAAAAUGAAAAAGCCGCAUAAAUUGUUUUAUAUAAUAACAAUGCACUGGUGCAUAGCUACAGCCCUGAUCAUUUAAAUGCAAGCAGCCUUUGUCACUUUGAAUCUGAAGGUAAUCUUUGUUUUUGUCAUUCCAAGCUAAAUUUUAAACUGGUUUUAUCAGUAAUCAGUUAACAGAUGUUUAACACCCUCUAAGUCAGCUUCUUGGAUAUAUGCCUCUGUAUAUCAGAGUAAAAUCUCCUAAAAUAGAAACAGACAGUGGAAAAUAUAUCCCCAGUGCUCUUAUGGAACAAGUAGAGGUUAAAUCCUCUUGGUAGAGAGCAUGCUUAUUAGACAAUAAUCAUUCAUUUAAUAAAUGAGUAACAUAGACGGUGGUUUUUUGGCCAUUUACCUAUGGUCCACGUACCCUUUAUUCUGUAGUAGACUAAUAAAUGUACAGUAUAAACUGCAUACUGUGUAGAUUAAAACUGCUUAAACAUCACCUGUCAUUACCUCUCCCCACCAAAAAAAUGUUAAAUGUUGAUUUCCCAAUAAACUGUUAAUAAUGUGCCAAAUUUCUAUUUAUUUUUCAUCAGUUUAUAAAUUUUCUACUUACAUUACCUUUCUGUUAUAUUCUUUAAGUAAUUUCAACUUAUGGCGACUCUAAGGAACUCCUAUCACAGAAUUUUCUUGGCAACAUUUGUUGAGAGGAAGUUGCCUUUACCUUCCCCUGGGUCUCCGGGAGUGUGUUUCGUCCAAAGUCAUCCACUGGGUUUCUUUGGACAGAAAGAACUUGCAUUCUGAUCCCCACAAAUAUAGUCCACUGCUCAAACUACUAUGUCACACUGGCCUUCUUUUCUGUUAGCAUUUUAUUAAUUUACAAAAAUACAUUGAAAUAGGUAAAUGGCCAAAAAACCCAAAAUGACCACAAAAACAACAUUACAUAAAUAAUGGGUAAAUCUUACUCAUACUUUUAAAAAAACAAUUAUGUUUAUCAAUCAUAUCAUUUCACAAUAUAUUGCCAUUCCCUACCACCACCCACAAAUGUGCUAGGUAUGUCAUUAUUGUCGACACAUUACUUCUGAAAUCUGAUAAAAUCUGAAAUGUAUUUUAUUUAGCUCUACUGUUUUAAUAGAUCCAUUUAGCAUCCAACAAUUCUUUCUCAGGCAGAGAAUUAUCAACAGCAAGACUAGCUAAAGGGUUGACGUCUGAUAUCACAAUGCGGUUUAUGAGAAACAGACCGGGAGUCCCACUGUGUUUUGCCUUGAGAUAAAUCAUGUUUCAGAUGAUCUCAGAUUUCCUGCCUUCUUUUUAAAGGCUGAGUUCUGGAAUUAGAAUUACAUGGUGAUCAAUUGGAAGCUGGAGAAGGAAAGCUAUGCUGCUGAUCAUCAUUGAUGCCACACAUGCAUUAGCCCAGAAGCAUAAAGACGCUUGUGGAACUCCCCAUGCCCCCAGUUUAGACAGUCUACUGAAAUACAAUGGCUCCCUUGGGUGGGGAAAUAAUUAUAUAUUCCCUGGCAACAUGACACAGCAGUUUAAACGUUGGGAACAAGCAAUAUCCUUGAACCAGAAAUAUUUCCUCAGGAGAGCUUGCAGAUUAAUUUUCUUUGCUUUCUUCACAAGGGCCUGGAUGCAGCUCUUUCCCUUGAUCAUGAUCCUAACUGGGUUUAUUUUCCACAUCAGUGUAUGCAAGGAUCACAUUUUUUCAACCAAGAAUAUCUCAGGCCAUGAAAAUUCAGAGCCCAAACCUGUGAUCUAGAGAUGGCACACUUUGGGAUGUCACAAGAAUCAUGCCCUGGUAAUGUUACAAGGAGCACACACACAGAGAGAGAAAUGUGAGUUUAAAAUCGUCUGAGGAGCCCUGCUCUCAGUCCCACCUCCUUUCACAGGCAUGAUUGGCAGGGACGAGAGACAGGGCCUUCUCAGUGGUGGCCCCUUGGCUAUGGAAUUCCCUCCCCAGAUAUAUUAGACCAGUCCCCUCCCUCCUGACCUUCUGUAUGAGAGUAAAAAUGUGGCUUUGUGACCAAGCCUUUGGACAACCGUGCAAUAGAUACAUAUGGAAUAACAUGCAAUGACUAUAGGAACGGCCUGGAUUACGCUUGUGGAUUAGGUAAUCAAUUGUAAUUGUAUUGUUUUAAAUGUUUCUAAUUGUUUUAAUGUAUUUUAUUCUAUUUAAAUGUUCAUUUUAAUUGUACAUUGUUUUUAUCGUAUCUAAUAGUUGCCUAUGUGUAAAGCUGCCUUGAGUCCCCUUUGGGGUAGAGAAGGAAGGCGGGGUAGAAAUGUCGUACAUAAAUAAAUUAGGCAUGAUGCAUUAAGAUUCAGUCACAGUAGUAAAAAAUAUGCUAUUUUUUUAAAAAAAAAACCCAAUUCUAAUAAAUAAAUACACACAUACAUACUUUUCAGGGCAGUCCUCUCACUCUGAGAUUCAUAUCCCUUGCUCUAAGGAGCAUAAAACAUGUUGCCAGAGUGAAAACUGAAGAGUAAUCCUGUACAUUAAAUUGUUGAAUAAUAAGCAACAGGUUGAAUAACAAGCAACAGUUGCUGAAAUUCCCUAACCUGCAUAGCCAUUAAACAUAAAAGAAGUGCCUCCAGUUAUUAAGGUGAGACCCUGAAAUCUGGGAAGCUUAGAUGAAAAGGAUAUUGGGAGGGUGGUCACAUCACUUCCAUAGUUAGUGAAUCUCCAUUUGUGGCCCCUGACUAUGCAGGAGAAACAUACAGCCCUGAGCCAAAAAUUUGACAAGACCUAUUCCAAAUUAAUGUGCAUAACACUGUAGUCAUGUAAUUCAGCCCUAGGGCUACUUAUUUGAAAACAGGACCUUCUAUAUAAUUAGAUUCAUUCCUACUUCUUGUAUGCAUUAUAGGGUCAGUGUACAGUAGACUCAUAUAAUACAGUUCAAUGCAGUUAAACUGUAUUGUUUGAGUCUACACUGAUCAAAGUGUAGUUUCAAACUGUAUUAUAUGGCAGUGUAGAUUGUCUUAUUGUUUUAUUUUACUGUAUAUGCAGUGAUGAGUAGAGUGUUACUCGUUCAUAUAGAUCUUGAAAAAAAAAAUUGGAACUGAACCCCCCAUUUCUCUACCCAGUGGAUGCUAAGAGUCCUCACCCCCUGCUCCCAUGACCCUUCUUAUAUAUCAGCAGGCAAAAGGUGUUGUGGACACUGCGGAACAGUUAGGAAAACCACCCAGUGAAACAUCAGUCCCUUUGAUUGACUGUUUAAAGGCCUCCCAAGGGGGUCAAAUAUUAUCUUUGGAUCACACUAAGAAAACCAUCUAGAAGUUGCAAGUUUUUUCUCAUGGCAUACAGUCUCUGAGCAACCAAAGUGUUAUCUUUUCUCAUUCAUCUGUUAACCAACCAGACAAAAUUACUAUGAAGCAAAGUUAAACCCAUAACAAAAGGAGAAGUAUUAUGCUCAGAUUUUAAUCACUGUGGAGAACAAUUCAGGCUAUUUCCCCUGUUCCUUAUUUGUGUGUAUUUCUUUGUUUAAAUAACUUUGGAAAAUGAAAAAAGUCACAACUCCAUAAAGCAAAAGCUAUUAUAAUUCUCGUGUGUAUGUUGAGAUUUAAAAUUUUUAAUAUCAUUUUUAUCUUUAAACAUAAAGUGUCUAUAGCAACACAUGCUCCUUUGUAGUUUGUGGACAUUUGGUGAUCAUGUUAAUAUCUUGGAGGACAAACUAUAUCGUUCAGUGAUGGAAGUCAUACUUCAAAUUCAAAUGGUCCCAAAUUUAAUUCAUAGCAUUAACAAUGAAAAGAAACCAGGGAUUACUUAUUUGGGGUUCUAGCUUCCAGAAUUCCUGUGCGUUCCAGUGGCAAUGCUGGCCAUAAGAAUUAGGAAGUUUGCAGGGUCUAACAGUAACAAGUAUUAUGAAGGAGUCAACAGAUCAGCACCCAGUGAGAAUACAUCAUCACACUUUGCUACCUGGACCAACAAUCUGACUUGAAGAAUUAUGCAAUUUUAAGGGAUGGUCAUAAUGGUUUACUAAUCUUAUUUAUUUAUUAAAUAUACUGGUAUAUCUCUCAAGCAAUCCAAACACAAUAAAACCACAAUUACAAUACAAUAAAACAAUCAGCAUGAAUCACCAACUAAAUGUAGCACCAGAUUAAUUAUUUUAUAUAAUUAAUCUAAUUAUUAAAAUAUAUCUUUAAUUGCCAA
Anolis carolinensis (green anole) is the source of this 8994-nucleotide long non-coding RNA. RefSeq lists it as uncharacterized. The record is from RefSeq and is a predicted model, not a curated record. The transcript is spliced from 2 exons. NCBI's taxonomy places the organism in Eukaryota, Metazoa, Chordata, Lepidosauria, Squamata, Anolidae.